GCCUACGGGAGGCAGCAGUGGGGAAUAUUGCACAAUGGGGGAAACCCUGAUGCAGCGACGCCGCGUGAGGGAAGACGGUCCUAUGGAUUGCAAACCUCUUUUGUCGGGGAGUAAAAGACGCCACGCGUGGCGUUCCGAGAGUACCCGAAGAAAAAGCAUCGGCUAACUCCGUGCCAGCAGCCGCGGUAAUACGGAGGAUGCGAGCGUUAUCCGGAUUUAUUGGGUUUAAAGGGUGCGCAGGCGGAAGAUCAAGUCAGCGGUAAAAUUGAGAGGCUCAACCUCUUCGAGCCGUUGAAACUGGUUUU
This 305-nucleotide ribosomal RNA is filed under the name uncultured bacterium. RNAcentral's name for it is "bacterial SSU rRNA". It matches the Rfam family "Bacterial small subunit ribosomal RNA", at positions 337 to 640 of the family's 1533-position model. The record is from RNAcentral.